This 1414-nucleotide ribosomal RNA is filed under the name Bacillus sp. 2011SOCPBJ6. Its description in RNAcentral is "bacterial SSU rRNA". It matches the Rfam family "Bacterial small subunit ribosomal RNA". The record is from RNAcentral. Lineage: Bacteria; Bacillati; Bacillota; Bacilli; Caryophanales; Bacillaceae.
UAUACAUGCAGUCGAGCGAACAGAAGGGAGCUUGCUCCCGGAUGUUAGCGGCGGACGGGUGAGUAACACGUGGGUAACCUGCCUGUAAGACUGGGAUAACUCCGGGAAACCGGAGCUAAUACCGGAUAGUUCCUUGAACCGCAUGGUUCAAGGAUGAAAGACGGUUUCGGCUGUCACUUACAGAUGGACCCGCGGCGCAUUAGCUAGUUGGUGGGGUAAUGGCUCACCAAGGCGACGAUGCGUAGCCGACCUGAGAGGGUGAUCGGCCACACUGGGACUGAGACACGGCCCAGACUCCUACGGGAGGCAGCAGUAGGGAAUCUUCCGCAAUGGACGAAAGUCUGACGGAGCAACGCCGCGUGAGUGAUGAAGGUUUUCGGAUCGUAAAGCUCUGUUGUUAGGGAAGAACAAGUGCGAGAGUAACUGCUCGCACCUUGACGGUACCUAACCAGAAAGCCACGGCUAACUACGUGCCAGCAGCCGCGGUAAUACGUAGGUGGCAAGCGUUGUCCGGAAUUAUUGGGCGUAAAGGGCUCGCAGGCGGUUUCUUAAGUCUGAUGUGAAAGCCCCCGGCUCAACCGGGGAGGGUCAUUGGAAACUGGGAAACUUGAGUGCAGAAGAGGAGAGUGGAAUUCCACGUGUAGCGGUGAAAUGCGUAGAGAUGUGGAGGAACACCAGUGGCGAAGGCGACUCUCUGGUCUGUAACUGACGCUGAGGAGCGAAAGCGUGGGGAGCGAACAGGAUUAGAUACCCUGGUAGUCCACGCCGUAAACGAUGAGUGCUAAGUGUUAGGGGGUUUCCGCCCCUUUAGUGCUGCAGCUAACGCAUUAAGCACUCCGCCUGGGGAGUACGGUCGCAAGACUGAAACUCAAAGGAAUUGACGGGGGCCCGCACAAGCGGUGGAGCAUGUGGUUUAAUUUCGAAGCAACGCGAAGAACCUUACCAGGUCUUGACAUCCUCUGACAACCCUAGAGAUAGGGCUUUCCCUUCGGGGACAGAGUGACAGGUGGUGCAUGGUUGUCGUCAGCUCGUGUCGUGAGAUGUUGGGUUAAGUCCCGCAACGAGCGCAACCCUUGAUCUUAGUUGCCAGCAUUUAGUUGGGCACUCUAAGGUGACUGCCGGUGACAAACCGGAGGAAGGUGGGGAUGACGUCAAAUCAUCAUGCCCCUUAUGACCUGGGCUACACACGUGCUACAAUGGACAGAACAAAGGGCUGCGAGACCGCAAGGUUUAGCCAAUCCCAUAAAUCUGUUCUCAGUUCGGAUCGCAGUCUGCAACUCGACUGCGUGAAGCUGGAAUCGCUAGUAAUCGCGGAUCAGCAUGCCGCGGUGAAUACGUUCCCGGGCCUUGUACACACCGCCCGUCACACCACGAGAGUUUGUAACACCCGAAGUCGGUGAGGUAACCUUUAUGA